This 108-nucleotide small nuclear RNA is filed under the name Colobus angolensis palliatus. The record is from RNAcentral. Lineage: Eukaryota; Metazoa; Chordata; Mammalia; Primates; Cercopithecidae.
GGACAUUCGUCGUGCUCAUACACUAAAAUUGGAAUGACACAGAGAAGAUUAGCAUAGUCUCUGUGCAAAGAUGACAUGCAAAUUUGUGAAGGACGUUAGGACAUUUGU